Molecule: ribosomal RNA, 652 nt
Filed under: bacterium LB-5
Lineage: Bacteria
Also listed under: 1 other name
Description: bacterial SSU rRNA
Rfam family: Bacterial small subunit ribosomal RNA
Source: RNAcentral
UGGUAGUCCACGCUGUAAACGAUGUCGACUUGGAGGUUGUGCCCUUGAGGCGUGGCUUCCGGAGCUAACGCGUUAAGUCGACCGCCUGGGGAGUACGGCCGCAAGGUUAAAACUCAAAUGAAUUGACGGGGGCCCGCACAAGCGGUGGAGCAUGUGGUUUAAUUCGAUGCAACGCGAAGAACCUUACCUACUCUUGACAUCCACGGAAUUCGCCAGAGAUGGCUUAGUGCCUUCGGGAACCGUGAGACAGGUGCUGCAUGGCUGUCGUCAGCUCGUGUUGUGAAAUGUUGGGUUAAGUCCCGCAACGAGCGCAACCCUUAUCCUUUGUUGCCAGCACGUAAUGGUGGGAACUCAAAGGAGACUGCCGGUGAUAAACCGGAGGAAGGUGGGGAUGACGUCAAGUCAUCAUGGCCCUUACGAGUAGGGCUACACACGUGCUACAAUGGCAUAUACAAAGAGAAGCGAACUCGCGAGAGCAAGCGGACCUCAUAAAGUAUGUCGUAGUCCGGAUUGGAGUCUGCAACUCGACUCCAUGAAGUCGGAAUCGCUAGUAAUCGUAGAUCAGAAUGCUACGGUGAAUACGUUCCCGGGCCUUGUACACACCGCCCGUCACACCAUGGGAGUGGGUUGCAAAAGAAGUAGGUAGCUUAAC